Molecule: ribosomal RNA, 337 nt
Filed under: Epiperipatus hyperbolicus
Lineage: Eukaryota; Metazoa; Onychophora; Udeonychophora; Euonychophora; Peripatidae
Description: partial small subunit ribosomal RNA
Source: RNAcentral
CCCUGUUAUUCUAUCAUAAAAUAAUAAUUCAAAGAAGCAUAACAUAAUAAAUUUGACGGUAUUAAACUUUACAAAGGAAUUUGUUUCUUAAUCGAAAAUACACGAUAAACCUUACUUAAUUUAUAUUUGUAUACCACCGUAAUAGAAAUUAUUUAAAAUUAAUUUCAUUAAAAUAUUCUUUAAAUAUCAGGUCAAGGUGCAAUUUAAUUAAGAUGAAAUGAAUUACAUUUUACAUAAACAUAUAAGAAUUGAAAUUUUCUUAAAAAAAGAAUUUGUUAGUAAAAAUUUAUUAUAAUGUUUUUUUGAAAAACUUAUUUUAAUAUGUACAUAUCGCCCG